CAGGCUAAUCUAUUAGUUGGUAUUUUCAUUUACAUUGAAAUAUUUUGUCGUGCAAUUCGGCUUUGUCUGA
Molecule: transfer RNA, 70 nt
Filed under: Tauritermes triceromegas
Lineage: Eukaryota; Metazoa; Arthropoda; Insecta; Blattodea; Kalotermitidae
Also listed under: 2 other names
Description: tRNA-Val
Source: RNAcentral